RNAcentral lists this ribosomal RNA (305 nucleotides) under uncultured bacterium. RNAcentral describes it as "bacterial SSU rRNA". It matches the Rfam family "Bacterial small subunit ribosomal RNA", at positions 334 to 655 of the family's 1533-position model. The record is from RNAcentral.
CAGACCUACGGGGCGCAGCAGUGGGGAAUAUUGCACAAUGGGGGGAACCCUGAUGCAGCGACGCCGCGUGAGUGAAGAAGUAUUUCGGUAUGUAAAGCUCUGUCAGCAGGGAAGAAGAAAGACGGUACCUGACCAAGAAGCCCCGGCUAACUACGUGCCAGCAGCCGCGGUAAUACGUAGGGGGCAAGCGUUAUCCGGAUUUACUGGGUGUAAAGGGAGCGUAGACGGCGCGGCAAGUCUGAAGUGAAAGGCAGGGGCUUAACCCCUGAACUGCUUUGGAAACUGCCAUGCUAGAGUGCUGGAGG